UGCGUAGGCGGUCGGGCAAGUUUGAUGUGAAAUCUCCGGGCUCAACCCGGAAAUUGCAUUGAAUACUGCCCGGCUAGAGGAUUGGAGGGGAGACUGGAAUGCUCGGUGUAGCAGUGAAAUGCGUAGAUCUCGAGCGGAACACCAGUGGCGAAGGCGAGUCUCUGGACAAUUCCUGACGCUGAGGCACGAAAGCCAGGGGAGCAAACG
This 207-nucleotide ribosomal RNA is filed under the name uncultured bacterium. RNAcentral's name for it is "partial 16S ribosomal RNA". It matches the Rfam family "Bacterial small subunit ribosomal RNA", at positions 568 to 774 of the family's 1533-position model. The record is from RNAcentral.